CCUGCUCACUGAUAGAAGUUAUUAAAUAGCCGCGGUAUUUUGACCGUGCAAAGGUAGCAUAAUCAUUAGUUUUUUAAUUGAAAACUUGUAUGAAUGGUUGGACAAAGAAGAGACUGUCUCUUGUGUUAUAAUUGAAUUUAACUUUUAAGUGAAAAGGCUUAAAUAUUCUAGAGGGACGAUAAGACCCUAUAAAGCUUUAUAAAUUUGAAGAUUUUGUGUAUUUUUAUAUAAAAAUGAAUUUUGAAGAUUUUAUUUGGUUGGGGCGACAAUGGUAUAAUGAGAAUAACUGCUAUUAAAAUUAACAAUUAUAUUUGAAUUAUUAAUAAUUGAUCCUUUAUAAGGAUUUUAAGAUCAAGUUACUUUAGGGAUAACAGCGUUAUUUUUCUUGAGAGUUCUUAUCAAAGGAAAAGUUUGCGACCUCGAUGUUGAAUUAAAAUGUCUAUAUAGUGCAGCAGCUAUAAAAGAAGGUCUGUUCGACCUUUAAUAUUUUACAUGAUUUGAGUUCAGACCGGCGGGAGCCAGGUCGGUUUCUAUCUUCUAGAUAAUAAAUAGGUACCUUAGUACGAAAGGAUUGGGUAGUUAAAAUUUUUUUUUGAAAAAAUUGAAAU
RNAcentral lists this ribosomal RNA (608 nucleotides) under Charybdis hellerii. Its description in RNAcentral is "partial 16S ribosomal RNA". It matches the Rfam family "Archaeal large subunit ribosomal RNA", at positions 1950 to 2812 of the family's 2987-position model. Lineage: Eukaryota; Metazoa; Arthropoda; Malacostraca; Decapoda; Portunidae. The record is from RNAcentral.